Molecule: transfer RNA, 72 nt
Filed under: Dendrophysa russelii (goatee croaker)
Lineage: Eukaryota; Metazoa; Chordata; Actinopteri; Sciaenidae
Description: tRNA-Val
Source: RNAcentral
CAGGGUAUAGCUAAGAUACUACAGCGGCUCCCUUACACCGAGCAGUCAUCCGUGAAAAUCGGAUUAUCCUGA